AAGAAUUCGCGAUGUGUAUGGAAAGGACGUCAGUGAGUUCAAAGACUCGGACGCUGAGUUGUCCCUGCCCACUUUUGUCAACUCGGUUCCCGGCAGGGUCUUGCCUAGUGUGGUUUUGGACAAGGAGGGCGCGGAGUCGUUUCUAAGCUAUGCCAAACGGUUUACAGAAACCAAGGGCAUUUUGGUAAAUACAUUCAUGGAGCUAGAGUCACAUGCUCUUGAUUCUCUUUCUGAUGGUGAAACCCCGCCUUUGUAUCCUGUGGGUCCCAUCUUGAAUCUGAUGAGUGAUGAUACCCAAUCGGGUUCAGAGCAAGCGCAACAGAAGUCGGAUAUAUUGGAGUGGCUAGAUGAUCAGCCUCCUUCGUCAGUGGUGUUCUUGUGCUUUGGGAGCAUGGGAAGCUUUGGUGAGGACCAGGUGAGGGAGAUAGCGUGGGGGCUGGAGCGGAGUGGGCUCCGGUUCUUGUGGUCUCUACGCCAGCCCCCACCAAAGGGAACCGUUGUGUCCCCUGGUGACUAUUCGAAUCCUAAGGGGGUCUUACCCGAAGGGUUCCUAUUUCGGACGGCUGCGAUGGGAAAGGUCAUAGGGUGGGCUCCGCAGGUGGCGAUCUUGGCCCACCAAGCAGUAGGAGGGUUCGUAUCCCACUGCGGGUGGAAUUCCACGCUUGAGAGCCUAUGGUUCGGGGUGCCGAUGGCCACGUGGCCGGUGUACGCGGAGCAACAAUUAAAUGCCUUUGAAUUGGUAAGGGAGUUGGGUUUGGCAGUGGCAAUUAAGAUGGAUUAUAGGAGGGACACCCAAGUGGUGGUGAGUGCGGAGGAGAUAGAGAGAGGGAUAAGGGAGGUGAUGGAGGAUGAUAGUGAUGUAAGGAAGAGGGUGAAAGAGAUGAGUGAGAAGAGCAAAAAAGCCUUGACGGAAGGUGGCUCCUCGCACUCUUCAUUGGGACAUUUUCUUGAUCAGAUUUUCCUUUGAUAUAUUAGGAAAGUCCUAGAAAAAUGAGAAAUUCCUACUGUUUUUGUUUCUGUCAUGAGUAGAUGAAUUUAAUAAAGUUCUUAAUUCUAAUAAUUUUCUCUAUAUAUAUAUGCUCCUUCUUCACCACAUGAACUGAGGUUGAUAUAUUUAUUCAAUUUCUAUUCUUCAACUUUCUACUUCAAUUUUGUGGUGCAUACCAAAAAAAGGAAAAUGUUGUUAAAUGAAUGGUAUAUGAUGUGGGAAUAUUGAGUUGUACUAAAAUAAAUAAGAUAUAAUAUUCAGCAAGUGGUGUGAGCAUCCCCGAAAAUAGAGCAGCAGUAACCUUUUCCACUUUGUUAAAUACUAGUACUGUUUUGAAUUUGAAAAAGAAAAACUCUGCGAACCAAGUGGCAAUCCAUAGAAUCUACAGGAGAAUCAACGUAAAAUGUGGUUUAUGAAAAGUCCUGUGAAGUUGUGUGUUUGGUCUACAAUUCCGAACAUGUUUUUACUCAUUAAAUUCUGACCUCAUCCUUGUUGAUGAGUCUUGUGAAGUUGUGUUGUUAAGUAUCAGACACCAAGAGCCAUGAUUUGAGGGCAUGCCGACUCUCUACUGCCAAGUCCACGACGACUUGUCAGACCAAAACCAGUUAUGAGUAAAUAACUUUAUCAAAUCUUGACUAAACGAAUGCCAGCAAAUACAUGACGUCACCUGGCAAAAAUGAAAAAGAAGUAAUCUAAGCAAUGUUAGAAACACCGUGCACAUGAUGUAUAUAAAGAUGUUUCAUGAGAUGAGUUUUUCCUAAGGGAUUCUAAUUUUAAAUCAAUUGAGGCCUUUUCUAUUUUUAGAUCUCUUUCUAUAGUGGAAGUAGAUCCUGUGAAUGAAUGUCUCGCAGAAUUAUGCCUACGGAAUUGACUAGGGGUUGGUAACUGUUUUAGCUGUACUAAAAAUUUUAGAGGUUGAUUUCCAAAGUUGAUUUUGACUGUGUCAUCUCAGUAUUGUUGGAUACAAUCCAAAUUAAAUAGGCUAUGUUGAACCGAAGUGGGUUGGCUUUAAGUUGCUAGAGUCCAAUAUGAGGGAAGGGUGACUUCUGACCAUUUAAUAGAAUGGAGAAUUCUUAUGUUAGCAUUUGCUUGUCUACUCUGGAUUAGUAAAUUUUGAUCUUUAGGACUUUUAUUAAGGGCUUGGAAAUUCAUAUUGGUUCCUGUGACUUUAUAAUAAAUUCUAUAGACUAAGGCUAAAAGUUGGGAUCUAGGUAAGAUCUCAUAACUUGCAGUUUUAAUAUUUAAAGUCAAGAUUUUUAAUAUAUAGGGAUCACUAAGGCUUACUGUGAAAUCAGGGUAGCAAUCAAAGUGAACUGGACCAAUAAACAAACUGGAUUAUAUUAUUCCUAAGGUACUGUCACUAAAAUUGGUGAAUCGUGCAUCUCUUAGGCAAAGCAAAAUAGAAGCAUUAAGACCUGUUUUUGUUAGAGGUUUGACUGCUACUUGAACAAGACCAAUAUGCAAGAAAUUGUUUUCCAUCUUUCCUAUGUUUCUUAAUUGACUCAAGAUUAAGUAAUUGUCAGGUUUCAUGUUCUUUACUAAGGGCAUAAACUUGCUCAACUGUUUUAACAUGGGUUGCGCUUUUGAAGGAGGAGAGAGACCAUCUUUUCUUAUAAAUUUCUGUAGUGGGGACUUUGGGAAUAAUCCAAUCUUUCUAGUCGACUUUAUUACUAGUUUCAUACUCAGUUUGUUCUUCAUUAACUAUGUAUGGGACCUUACUAAUACUGGCUAUAGAACUGCUACUGCUGCAAGAGUUUGAUCUAAAAAGGAGACUCAUUAGGACAAGUUUACUGGCUUUUCUCUUAUGGGUAGAAAGUAAACCUAAAAUCCUAGUGUAGACUCAAGGUUAUCUGAAGACCUAGGAACUCUCUCUUUCUCUGCUCAUGCCUCACCUGGGGCUUAGUGUUUGGAGUCUAGGACUUAUUGUUUGGGUUGAAAGAGAGUUGCAAGUAAUGACAAGACCCACCCCGAAUUCCUCGGAAACCUGAAACGAAUCCUGCGGAAUUUCCGACAUUGUACCUAUGCCGGGCCCACUUACUAAAACUAUUACCUCAUUUCCCAAAUAGGAAUAGGGGCACGAGGCUUUGUGCCGAAAUUUUGACAGAGUCUCCCCUAUAAAUCGGACUUACCCCAAAUUUUCAACCUAUCAAAAAUUACAAUUUAAGAAGCCAACUGCCAGCAGGCACAAUGUAAUAACACACAAUUUACAGACAAGGCUUCCAACCUUCAAAUAAAUCAAGGCAGGACAACUAGAAAUGCAAUUAAGGAACUCAAAUCAUUUUUUGAAUAUUGUUGUAAUCAAUAUAAAAUUAACUUUCCAAUUUUCAAUCAGGCGAGGUUUAACCUCCUAACACAACUGCAAGUAUAUUUAAGGCCUCAGCCCAAAACGUACAACGAUUCACAAUGGGUUCCAAAACUGUCUUGAUCACAACCACAUUUCAACAACACCCAACUAGUCAAAUGGGAAAAUGAAAAAUCAAUCAAUCAAGCCUUGUUUUCAAACGAGUUUAAUGCCCAACGACAAGGUCGAAACCGAAAUCAUCCCAAGACCAAAAUAACUUUAGUUCAAAACUGCACUUGGGUGGGACCCUAGGCUACCUAUGUACCAUUACUAAGGGAUUAAGCCACCCGUAGUUCUUCAUCCACAGUCACAACUCCAGUAAUAUACAACCUUUUUCUUUAAAAAAAACCGACGAAUGACUUUAGACUCCUUAUUAUAUCAAAUUUAACAAGGCAACCCCUAAACACUUUAUGAUUUCCUUUCUUUUAUCAAUUCUUUCCGUACAACCAUACCCUAUUCAAGGCACAUGUUGCUAAACAACACUUCCCAAAUCUGGGACUCAGACGUUCAUACCAAUCUAGGGUAAUCACAAAGCACAACCUCACAUAUCUCAACCCGAAAACAAAUCCUCAAAUAUAUGUAUUUAAUAUGUAUAAAUAUAAUUACACCACCUCCAACCAUCAUCAUGUACCAAGGAAAACAAUCCAAUCUGGGGAUUGUUUGACUAGACUACAUGAAGGAAUCCUCAACAACCAUGUGGCUAGGGAGCGAGCCGUCCAACCGGGGGACUAACUCUCAGCCAGCAUGUACAGUCGAAUCCUCAAGACUCGUAUACCCAUGACAAGUCCUACGCGCGCAGACUACCCAAAUCAAGGAUCUACAUAUCCACAUGUCCAUAUCCAUAUAUCCAUUUCCGUGCGUCCACGUAUCCAUAUCCACUGCUUCCAAGUAUCAGUAUCCAAGGGGAUGUACACACGAUGAUGCACAUCAUGUACCGAGGAAAACAAUCCAAUUGGGGAUCGUUUGACUAGACCACAUGGAGGAUUCCUCAACAACCAUGUGGCUAGGGAACGAGCCGUCCAACCAGGAGACUAACUCUCAGCAAGCACGAACAGCCGAAUCCUCAAGACUCGUACACCUGUGAGAAGUCCUACGCGAGCAGACUACCCCCUAAAGGUCCACGAACCCCUUUCAAGGGCGUCUGAGUUCCAACCUAUUCAAGUAUCUUCCAUAUUCCAAAUAUCCAUUUCCAUUUUCAUUCCAGAAUCCAUAUCCAAGGAAGCCCAUACGUCCGAAACACGGCCCGUGUGUGUAUAGUAACGAGGGAAGGUACGUAUGAUGGUGGAGUUCGUAACCCGUAUAACAAUAUUUUAAAAAGACAUUUCCUUCCUUAAAACCCUUAUCCAGUGAGGUACCUAAAGUAGUGCUUAUAGCACUUUAAAACUGACAUUCUAAACUCAUUUCUUUCCACAACCUCACAACAACAACCCAAGUAUCCCACACAUAUUCAACAUAGAUAGCACAUUCUCAAUUAUUAUAUAAUUGAACUCAAAAUACACAAAUAUGUCAAAACCCACGUAUAUCACUAACUUUACGAAAAUAAUAAAUUCAAUUAUUAAAUAUUCAAUGAAUUUAAAUAAACCAUUAAAUUUAUAUGCAUAAUAUUUCCAUCACAAAACCAUACUGUUUAUUUGAAAACAAUGUCCAUUUACACGAGGAAAAAGAGACGUUCUAAGGUCCAACUAUCCAAUUCGGAUGAUGGGAUAGCCUCGGGGGACACUCGGUCAACCGGGCGGUCAAACUUUCCAAAACAGGUCAACGGGGCCCACGGGACCUACGACCUCUAUUUUACGAUCCAGACAUUUCUAAGGGCUCCACAAGGUCUAAGAUACACGUCCUGCAAGUUUGGCCCGAAACGGACAGUCGAAUCGCUCACGAUCAGACGGUUAUCAUAAAACACCAACUUUAAGUUAUUAAAUCGGAAAAUCCAGUACUCCGAUCCACGAUCCGUGAAUUCCUACACAAUCCUAGGAAUGCCUAGAUUAACAUAUAUUAAAUUCAAGAUGAUCCAAUGGUUCAAACCUAUCGAACCCGGAUAACGUACAAUAGGCAAAAUCCGUUCGAGACUCAAACGGUAUCCGAAUUGAAAUCCGAGCACCCCUAUGCGCUCGUGACAAUAAGGGGAUCGCAUCGGAACACAAUGCCCAUCCGCUAUAAUGCCCACGCGACGCCACAUGCGCAGGCAGCACGUAGGUGUCCAAAAAGAUACCACUCGUAGGAAAACCUCAAAAUUUCAGGCCAAUAUUCCUAUCAUAGGUUCAAGACAUCGAUUGGAGACACUUUUGCUCUUGGGCCUACCCCAAAAAGUGACCGGAAGUAGUCGGAAUUUCAUCUCAAAAUCCAGCCAAACUGAAAUUUGAAAAUUGAUCUAUCAACGCUUAAAAUUUCUGAAAUCCUACCCAACCAUCAGUUAGAUCAUGAAAAGUAGGUGAGAAAGCAUAUCUCACUCGCCGAAAUUGGUGGCUGGAUGACGGAGAACGAAGUCGGAGAAUUUCGAGUGAAAAAUCGGCCGUUUCUCUUCGAUUUUCCGGUGAAAACACGGUGGCAGGCAGCGGGGCCUGGCUGGGGUUGGAAGAGGACGGUGGCCUAAUCAUCUUGGUACCUGCCCCGUCAAUUUUGGUAGUUGGAGUAAAGAAGUGCUAGCCAAAACGUGGCAGGCUGGGCGUUGCCGUCGCGAGAGAAGAAAGAUGUUGCGGGGAAAGAGAGAGAGAGAGAGAGAGAGAGAGAGAGAGAGAGAGAGAAAAUGAGGGUUUCCAGAUUUUUAUCAAACCUUUUUCGUAAAAAUUACGGUGAUGCUACUGAGGGUAUUUUGAUCGUAUUUUUUUUGGUCACAAAUCCGAUUCAAGCUCAUUAUGUGUCUACAGACUCAACUCGUCAUGCUCUAUGCAACGGUACAGUCAAAAUUCUAAAAAUCUUCCUGAUCAAAAAGUCAACGUUAAAUCUAGUAAAAUAUUGUAGGGGCAAAAUGGUCUUUUGGCAGAAUGAGAAACUGAAUUACCAGUCAAUGAAUGCACAAUAGAAAGUAAAGGACAUAUUUCUAAUGCAUAAUAGAAAUAUCAGUCAUUAUGGCGGAAUGAGAAACUGAAUUAGACUAACUCAACAAGACUAUAGUGAUGAUGAUGUUGCAGAUGGAGGCUUUGAACAACGACAAUGAGGCCCGGCACAAGAGGCUCUCAAGUUGUUGAUCGAAUUGGCCGAAACCGAGCCCAUGUUCCUAGGCAGCAGAGAGAGAGUAGGUUGGGGAGGCGCGGGUUUGUAGGCGUUAAGUCCAAGUCGAGGCGGGUCUAUGUGGGUGGGUCAAUGAUAGAUUUCUAAGGGUUGGUUCAAGGUCGGCGAUGAGAGAGAGAGAGAGAGUGGAAGGAACAGGAAAGGAGAGAAUGGGGUUUUUUUUUUUUUUCCUAUUUUCAAUAUUUUUAAUUUUUUAAUUAAUUUUUUUUUUCACACAUCAGCCCCAAUUAAAUAUUCCUAAUUGAAUUUAUAUAUUUUUUAUAGUUCAAAAUCCCUAAUUAAAUUUAAAUAUUACAAUAAUUAUUUUUUAGUCCGACACAUCACCAAAUAUAGGUCUUCAUUAUUUUUACAAUACAGCUUCUUAGUCGACAAGACACCAAAUGUAGGUUAGUACUUAAUCCAGCUUAGGCUAAUCCAAGCUAAUUCAAGACAGCCUCAUUAUUUAAUCUAGUCCAUGACAGUUUGCCAUACCAAACGACCUCUUAGAAGUCAAUUUUUAGUCCUUACAUUUUGAGUUAUUUUUCAUUUUUCUAGGUGUAUCUCUGGCACUUUUAGUAUAUUGUAAUUAUAGUUUGCUACCUUUCUUAACCGCAGUCUGAUUUGCUAAACCCAAAUGAUUUUCAAGACUGAAACUUGAGGUGGAUUUCUCCUGUGCGAUAAUCAUAUGUUGGCACGUCAGAUUUUCGUCAUGAAAAUUAACAACAUCAACUAUUUGGAUAGAGAUUAAACACUCGGCAAACCACGUCAUAAUCGUGAGAGCCAAAAUUGUGAACAUAUAAAUUAUAAGAAGGAAAGUUGUUGGUAUAAAAAUUGUAUUAUCGACAAAAGCAGCACAUCACUUGCAUCGUUGGGAUAUCUAUCACCUCUUCAAUUCCUCUACGUAACUAUAUGAUUAAUUGCUUAAUUUAUUGCCAGGCGGCAAUCUGUUCUUUUACCAAUGAGCUUGAGGAAGCUUCUGACCAAUGCCAGCAAAGGCAUGACGUCAUCACUGUAUCUUGACCUAAGCAAAGAUUAUUAAUUCCAACAUUCAACUGUAGCAAUAUUAUAUCAAGGGCAUCGACAUGAACUUUUCAUUUCCAUCAGAAUAUCUAAAACCUCCCUUUGUUCUUCCCCAAAUGGAGAAAGCUUCAGAGCUAGUCUUCAUCCCUUCCGCCGGCAUGGGCCACCUUGUCUCCGCCGUCGAGAUGGCAACGCUCCUCGUUGCUCGACACGACCGACUUUUCAUCACCGUCUUCAUCAUGAAGCUGCCCUUCGACUCCAAAGGCACCGAGUCCUACAUAGCCUCCCUCGAGGCCUCUCCCGUGUCGCCACGUGUCAACUUCAUCACCCUCCCAAAAGUUCCUGCCAUAGACAACCACAUCAGCCCCAACUCCUUCCGCAACCAGUUCAUCGAAAGUCACAAACCCCACGUCAAAAACGCGGUCGCCAAACUCACCGAGUCUGAGUCCGAUUCAAGGCCUCGGCUCGCUGGGUUCGUCAUCGACAUGUUUUGUACAACAAUGAUCGACGUGGCGGAUGAAUUUGGGGUUCCUACUUACAUGUUCUUCACUUCACCAGCUGGGUUUCUGGGGUUGUUGUUUAACCUGCAGAGAAUUCGUGACGUGUAUAACAAGGAAGUGAGUGAGUUCAAGGACUCGGAUGCUGAGUUGGCCCUGCCCACUUUCGUCAACUCGGUUCCCGCCAAUGUCUUGCCCAGUGUGCUUCUGGACAAGGACGGCGCGAAGGCGAUCCUCGGCUAUGCCAAACGGUUUAGAGAAACCAAGGGUAUUUUGGUAAAUACAUUCAUGGAGCUGGAAUCGCACGCUCUUGAUUCUCUUUCUGAUGGUGAAACCCCACCGUUGUAUCCUGUGGGCCCCAUCUUGAACCUAAAGAGUGAUGAUAGCCAAUCGGAUUCAAAGCAGGCGCAACAGAAGUCUGAUGUAUUGGAGUGGCUAGAUGAUCAGCCUCCGUCGUCUGUGGUGUUCCUGUGCUUUGGGAGCAUGGGAAGCUUUGGUGAGGACCAGGUGAGAGAGAUAGCAUGGGGGCUUGAGCGGAGUGGGCUCCGGUUCUUGUGGUCUCUACGCCAGGCGCCACCAAAGGAGACCGUUGCGUCCCCUAGUGACUAUUCAGAUCCCAAGGCGGUGUUGCCCGAAGGGUUCCUCGAUCGGGCGGUUGGAAUUGGAAAGGUCAUAGGGUGGGCCCCGCAGGUGGCGAUCUUGGCCCACCGGGCAAUUGGCGGGUUCGUAUCUCACUGCGGGUGGAAUUCGACGCUUGAGAGUCUAUGGUUCGGGGUGCCGGUUGCCACGUGGCCAAUGUACGCUGAGCAACAAUUAAAUGCCUUUGAAUUGGUGAGGGAGUUGGGAUUGGCUGUGGAAAUCAAGAUGGAGUAUAGGAGGGACUUUUAUGGGGAGAGUCCGAAGGUUGUGAAGGCAGAAGAGAUAGAGAGAGGAAUAAGGGAGGUGAUGGUGCAGGAUAGUGAUUUAAGGAAGAGGGUGAAAGAGAUGAGUGAGAAGGGCAAGAAAGCCUUGAUGGAUGGUGGGUCGUCACACUCUUCAUUGGGACAUUUUCUCCAUCAGAUUUUUCUUUGAUAUACCGCACAUGAAAAUCAAUAAUGCCCAAUGACAAUUUCUCGCGAUAUUCAUGUAAAUGCCCCUUAAAAAUGGAGGGCCCUAGCAAUUACUCAGCUUGUACAUGGUAAAAGCCGUGGUAAGCGGAGCAUACUGCCGUCAGGGGCCGUUAAUCAUUCUGCAGUACUCUACUGAGAUAGGCAAUCGCAGUCUAACUAUACCUUUCUCAAUGCAAUGGAUGAUCCUAUGUUGCGACACCAAAUUUUUGUCAUGAAAAUUAAUAAUAUUAACAAUUUAGAAAAAAAAUUAAAAACUUGGCAAACUAAAAUUGUCAACAUCUAAAUUAUAAGAAAGAAAGUGGAAAGUACUUCAAAUUACACGAAGAAAAUAAUAGUGUUCUUGUGAAUUUUUAUUUGGAGAUUUAUUUUUCUACUUGACGAGAAAAGCAUCACAUGAGUCGCACUGUUAGGCUAGAAAUGGAAGUUUCCAAGAAUAAAUUUAGGAGACGUUUCUACAAAAUUCCACCCUUUGAUGGCAGCAAAGGCAUGACGUCACCACUUGCAUCCUUGGCCCAGAGCAUUAAUUCCAACACAACAUGGAAAUGAACUAUUUCCAUCAAAAGAUCUAAAACCUACCGCUCUUAUUCCAUUCUGACAAACAGAAAAAAAAACCUCUCUUAUUCCAUAUGGAGAAAGCUUCACACCUAGUCGUCAUCCCAUCCGGCCGCAUCGGCCAUCUCGUCUCCGCCGUCGAGAUUUCGAAGCUCCUUGUUUCCCGCCACGACCAACUUUUCAUCACCGUCCUCAUCAUGAAGCUACCCUUCGACUCCAAGGGCACAGAGGCCUACAGAGCCUCCCUCGAAGCCUCUCCCGUACUGCCACGUGUCAACUUCAUCACCCUCCCAAAAGUCCCAGACCUAGACAAGCACCUCAGCUCCCACUCCUUCCGCAACCAAUUCGUCGAAAGCCACAAAACCCACGUCAAAAACGCGGUCGCCGAACUCACCGAGUCACAGUCCGAUUCGAGGCCUCGGCUUGCUGGGUUCGUCAUCGACAUGUUUUGCACAACAAUGAUCGAUGUGGCGGAUGAUUUUGGGAUUCCUACGUACAUGUUCUUCACUUCACCUGCUGGGUUUCUCGGGCUGCUGUUUAACCUACAAAGAAUUCGCGAUGUGUAUGGCAAGGACGUCAGUGAGUUCAAAGACUCGGACACUGAGUUGUACCUGCCCACUUUUGUCAACUCGGUUCCCGGCAGAGUCUUGCCUAGUGCGGUUCUGGACAAAGAGGGCGCGGAGACGUUUCUAAGCUAUGCCAAACGGUUUACAGAAACCAAGGGCAUUUUGGUAAAUACAUUCAAGGAGCU
This 10465-nucleotide long non-coding RNA is filed under the name Prunus persica (peach). Its description in RNAcentral is "long non-coding RNA (PPER_LNC003777)". Lineage: Eukaryota; Viridiplantae; Streptophyta; Magnoliopsida; Rosales; Rosaceae. The record is from RNAcentral.